GGGGAUCUAGCUCAGUGGUAGAGCGCUUGCCUAGGAAGCGCAAGGCCCUGGGUUCAGUCCCCAGCUCCG
This is a non-coding RNA of Rattus norvegicus (Norway rat), 69 nucleotides long. The record is from Rfam. Lineage: Eukaryota; Metazoa; Chordata; Mammalia; Rodentia; Muridae.